Molecule: transfer RNA, 63 nt
Filed under: Elliptorhina davidi
Lineage: Eukaryota; Metazoa; Arthropoda; Insecta; Blattodea; Blaberidae
Description: tRNA-Ile
Source: RNAcentral
UAUAGGGAAAUUAAUUAAUAAGGGGUUAAUUUUUCUAGUUUUGCGGGCACCCUACCUUUAUAA